AUCAGAGAAGAAAACAUUUGGAGCCAUGACCAUAAACAAACAGGAACAAAAAGGAACUGCUAAAGGUAACAGCCUGAAGCAAUAUCUAAAAGAAGAUUAUGAAAUCUGCAAUGAAUCUUUAAACAAACAAGAUUAAUAUCACUUGCAUUUAGCUUGGAGAGUUCGACAGACAACUAAGCUUAAAAUUUGUAAGAGAAUUUAACAAAGUUUCUGAACUUGUUAUAAACAUAACCUAAGUAUUCACUAAAUAAGCCCCGAGUUCUAGACCAUUCUAUAUUAGAAGGCUGCAGCAGACUUAUAUAAGGAAAUUCAAUCAUAUUCAUGUCAAACUUUGUUUUAACCAAACCCACAAAAAUUUUCUUUGCCAUACUUUUCUUCUACAAUUUUAAGCUCGAGUUCAAAGUUACAGUAAUGACUUAAAGAAGAACCAACAACGCCAAAUAUUUGGCUGACACCCUCUUCCAUUGUGGUGCCAUAUGCUCCUCCAAAACACUGCUGCUAAGGUUUUAGCGAAGUCAAGGUUUUCUUCCAUGUCAGCCUAAAGCAUUAUUUGACUCACAAACAAAGCCACACUAUGAAGUCUAGUCGGAAAAAAAAAAGAAAAAACACUCCCAAACAGCUAUAAUAUUUUAUCUGAGUAUUAGCAAUGUCAAUGUCAACCAAAUGUAUAUACUGCUCCCACCUUCCCCAGAGCUUCCAUUCUCUGCAUCAAUAUGUUAGUAUUUUAACAUCUCUCCUUCGUACUUUUGGCUCAUAUUUUUCUUCUUUGUUUUUCGCAAUUUACUGCUCCCACUUUGUCCUUAAGCGUGGAAAAUUUUCCUCGAAACAUCUUUGAAAACAACACAAGAAUAUAUUCCUUACAUUCUCUGUAUCAAUAUGAGGCUCGGCAUGGAACUGAACCAACAGUGGAGCACUCGAAAAUGCUUUGAAGCAUCUGCUAUGUCCAUAUUCUGGAGACCAAGGGAGAUAAGCUAGAAUAGAAGGCAAGAAU
This 991-nucleotide long non-coding RNA is filed under the name Carica papaya (papaya). RNAcentral's name for it is "long non-coding RNA (CPAP_LNC002261)". Lineage: Eukaryota; Viridiplantae; Streptophyta; Magnoliopsida; Brassicales; Caricaceae. The record is from RNAcentral.